GCUGUGCUUCUGUGCGCUGAGAAUAACAGUAUUUUCUUAAACAACUGACUUGGUCAUCAGAAAUAUUUCUUAAAAAAGAAAAGAAAAAAGGUGCCACUUUAGUUUGGAGCAACUUUUUAAGUUUAAAUUUAUUGGUUUUAUCUUUUCAUUCUGAAAAUCAUUCCAUUAAAAGUACUAGUUUUGCUGGGCAUGGAAAUGCACGCCUUUAGUCCCACACUCAAGAGACAGAGGCAGGUAGAGCUCUGAGUUCAGGGCCAGACUGGUUUACAGAGUGAGUUCCAGGCCAGUCAAGUCUACACAGAGAAACCUUGUCUCAAAAAACCAAAAAUAAAAAAAUAGAGAAUGCAGCCUCCAGUGUAGUUACAAGUAUACAAAAGAUGCUGACAUUUUUAAAGAUAGAAUUUUCCAAAUUACUUUAUUAAAUUGUGAUGAUUUGAUAGUCUUGACUCCUUGUUCUGAUAAAGAGUUCAUAUAAAACUAUGUUGACCAUUAAAACUUCUUCCUUGUGAUGCAAAUUUUUUUUAUGUCAGUGAAAGGACAUAACACAUUUGACAGUUUCUGUAUUUUCAUAUCUGAGCACAGAGUUGUAUCUAUGACUGUGCUAUAUAGUUAUCAAACUGGAAAUCAGUACUGUAUACUGAUAUUUAAUAGAUUAAUAAAUAGUUGUGUUCUGCAUUGGAAUAAAGUUUUAUACAUACAUACACACUGAGGAAAUACUGACAACUAACUUAGAGAUCAUAAGGAAGUAAGUCAUUGAGCAUUUUAGAAAAGGACAUCAGGAGUUUUAUUAAGCGUGUACAGACAAGUUUUUAUCCUAACAGUCUUCCUUGUGAGUGAAAUACAGCAGCUUGCUAAAUCUUAAAUGUUCAUGCUAACGGGAUUUUUGUACUGUCUCUUUAGCUAUAGCUUUAAAAUUGUCUACAAAUCCACAAAGAAAGUUACCUUGUAGUCGUCUCAAGCCUUUAAGGAGAAUGUUCUGUGUGACAACCAACCUCAAAUGUGAAUGUCUUGAUUUUAUGUAGCUACAGAAUUUCAUGUUCCCAAAACUAAACACUGGAAUGACACUGAUGUGUCACUUAGCACAAGCAGUUGGUGUUGAUGUCUUGUCAGUGCUGUUUGUGUCUGAUUUCUCUUCUGGAUAAUCUUAUUGGAACAAAUGUAGAGUGUUUGUGAUGUCUUUUUAUGUUCAGUUUUGCAUGGCUUUUGUAGUUGGCUGGCAAGUGUGUCUAUUAGAAAUACUUUCAAAAUAAUUUUCCUUAGGAAUAAGCACAUUCUUGGGUUGAGGGAAGGAAUGCUAUGCUAUACGGUCUGAAGUCUGAACACUCCCAGUUUACAGCAGGAAAAGUUAACGCCUUGUCAGCACUGACGGUCAGGUCACUUAGCACGUAAGGGAUUAAAUCUGUCCAGGUUUUCACUGGUUUUCCCCUCAGGAAUGAAAGGUAGUCUAUGGUCAGUAGAGCUUUGUGAUCUGCGUGCCGACCAAAAAUACUGCCUGGUGAGACUUGGUGAAUACCUGUAACCCUAUAGGAAGAUCUAAAGUUUAAGGCUGGUCUAAGUUACAUCAGACUAUCUCAAAAUAAAUAAAUAAAUAUCUUUUUUUAAUGAGAAAGAAAAGCAUGGAUGAAAGGAUGAAUAUUGGAUUUAAGUAAAGUUUUAAGUUAGUGUCAGUGGGGCUAUGUGCUAUCAAGACUCUCACACAGACCUUUACAGCAGAGCCUAUACCCAGGCACUUGCCAUGCCACCAUGUAGUUUUUGACUGAGAUUCUCCAGGUCAGCGAGAUCCUAUACUUUACUUGUAAGUCAUGAUAGGAUAGUGUACAUCCUGAGCUUUUGUAAAUCCUAAUGGUUAUGAAUGUACUAAUGCUCAACAUAGUCCUAAACAGUGAAAAGUUAGCCUCUGCUUUAAAAAAAAGCCUUGUUUUACCUGUGAUUGUAUGCCAUUAGGGCCAAUUCAAUUUCCUAUCCCUCUGUGGUUCUGACUGGAAACUGCUGUGCCAGGAAGCCCUAGCCACUUACAGAAAAAUCGUGGUUGGCUGGGAACACAGCUCAGUCGGUAAAGUAUCGCCUAGUAUGCACAAAACCCUGGCUGUGGCAGAAAGCCAGCAUGGGUGUUCAUGGGUGUAAUCCCAGCACUUGGAAAGUGGAAGCAGACAGAUCUGCAGCUCAAGGUUACCAUCAGCUACAGGAGACCCUGUCUCAAAAACAAAGUAGGUAACUCCAGCUAAUGACAUGUCCCCGGGAAAUCCAAACAAGGAAGUACCUUCAUUUUUUUCAUACUUAAGAAUAAAUAGGUAGUACUUUGACUUGUCCACAUUAGCUUUCUGUGAAAAUCUAGUGUAUGGAUUAUUUUCCUUCUCUCAUGGCCUAAGGAGUAAAUAUUGAUAAGGAAUGAUUUGAAUGUAAUUUUUUCGAAUGUGUGGAAAAUAUGAAGCAGGGAUUUAUCCUUAAUGAAGGUAGCCACUGACAUUUGUUGUUGAUCUCCCUUUGUACUGUCUUGUUUCUGCACUCGUCAUUUUGAGAUAUUAUACUGCACAAUGUAUUAUAAAAAUAAAAAGU
RNAcentral lists this long non-coding RNA (2556 nucleotides) under Mus musculus (house mouse). RNAcentral describes it as "long non-coding RNA chr12:78838010-78840566". The record is from RNAcentral. Lineage: Eukaryota; Metazoa; Chordata; Mammalia; Rodentia; Muridae.